This is a non-coding RNA of Oryza barthii, 194 nucleotides long. The record is from Rfam. Lineage: Eukaryota; Viridiplantae; Streptophyta; Magnoliopsida; Poales; Poaceae.
AAAGACAGAAUUCUUCGGUUUCCGUGUCCAACGUUUUACCAUCCGUCUUAUAUAAAAUUUUUUUAUGAUUAGUAUUUUUAUUAUUGUUAGAUGAUAAAACAUGUAUAAUACUUUAUGCAUGACUUAUCUUUUUAAAUUUGUUUAUAUUUUUUUCAAAUAAGACGAACGGUCAAAUGUUAGACACGGAAACUCAG